RNAcentral lists this ribosomal RNA (214 nucleotides) under uncultured bacterium. RNAcentral describes it as "partial 16S ribosomal RNA". It matches the Rfam family "Bacterial small subunit ribosomal RNA", at positions 1289 to 1500 of the family's 1533-position model. The record is from RNAcentral.
CAGUUCGGAUUGUAGUCUGCAACUCGACUACAUGAAGCUGGAAUCGCUAGUAAUCGCGAAUCAGAAUGUCGCGGUGAAUACGUUCCCGGGUCUUGUACACACCGCCCGUCACACCAUGGGAGUCAGUAACGCCCGAAGCCGGUGACCCAACCAAUUCAGGAGGGAGCCGUCGAAGGUGGGACCGAUAACUGGGGUGAAGUCGUAACAAGGUAAC